AACAGGUGGAGGAUCGAUGGCUAUCAUCGUUGGUGUAGUCGUGGCUCUCUUCUUUCUUGUCGCUCUCAUCGUUGCUGUUGUUGCUGGAAUUAUGGUCUGGAAGAAGAAGAACUCUGGCUUCAAACGUGCUCCAGCCUCUGAAGAGUCUUCCUCCACCAACUCUUAAAGCGUGACUGUGUCUUCCUGCUGAAGUGAGAGAGAGACACCAGUAUAUGGAGAUGAGGACCACACACACACACACACACG
Molecule: long non-coding RNA, 246 nt
Organism: Tachysurus vachellii
Lineage: Eukaryota; Metazoa; Chordata; Actinopteri; Siluriformes; Bagridae
Exons: 3
Source: RefSeq, a predicted model, not a curated record